UUUCUAUCCAGAAAGUUGGGUUUUCAUGAUCUGAGCUUCCUUAUGUCUCCUUCUCUUUGUGCAAACUUAAACCAGUCAUAGAUUGUCACCCAGACAUAUUCUCCAACCCAGCAUUGGAAAUCUGAACGAAUCUUUUCUCUUUUUGUCCUACAAGUUUGUCAGAGAUGAGAAUGGAUUGCUGUCUACAUUCUACAACCAGACCCUAGACUUUAUACCAGGCUGUGCCACUUCCUCUUCACUUCACUCAGAGGAUGGCCCCAAAACUGAAAAGGAAAUGAAAUAAUCAAAUAUACCAAAUCCGAAUUUGACUUUAUUUGAUGACUCAAUAUUUUCCUUCCAGUACUCUAAUUUUUUUUUAUGGCAAUGGCCUAUAUGGCACAAGAACCACCACUUAAAGCAAAUCUGUUGAACAUUUUUAUAAGGGAUGAGCAAGAAAAACACACUCCAAAAUUUUAAAGUGCCAUUAAUCAAUUUUUAAGAAUAAAGGUAAUAUGAAAUGAGGGCUAAACAAUGUAAUAUAACUGCCAGUUAAGGUAGACAGUAGUUGUGGUCUUAGUUACAUUUGAUAUGGAGUUGUGUAAUAUUAAGCAGAUCCCAGUGGAGUUAGUAAAAACAUAGGUAUUGAGUUUUAAUGGCUACCAAUUGGGAUAUAUACUUAGCCUGCAGGCUGAACUUUAGUCAGUGUUUUUCUAUCAUGUUGUUUUGUGAACAAGUCAAAAUUUAUACAAAGCUACCCUAAGUGCUGCAAUUGCAGAGGAACUUGCCUCUUCGUGAUAUUAGAGGGCAGUCCAACUCCGCUCAAACUGAGUCCAAGAUUUGAAUUCAUCCAGAAAAACAAAUGGAGGAGAAAAGCCUAAUGCACCACAUGUGUUUGGCAUUUCAUGGCUGGGACAAUGGAGUAGAGGGUAGGAAGACAAGCUGUAGAACAAAAGCAAAGUGAGGUAGAAAGUAACAGGUCCCAGACGAGGACAGACUUAGAGAUGUGUAACCUUGGAUCCUCUUUUUCACUUAGAAUAUGGGUAAACUUCUUAGCACAAGACUGGAUUAAGAGAAGUUCUUUCUGUUAAACUCACCUAGGGUAGUGGCUUUGAAGGCCUCAGAGGAUUAAUAGAUUCCCAAAAUUUUCUUCCAGACCUGGGAGAUGGAGAGAAAGAGGUUCUUGCUUUAAAGCGGCUCGAAGACAAUCUUUAUGACUUCAGCAACUCUUCAACAUAGUAGCACCAAUAAAGGAGAGAUUAUGUUAACUUCCUAGUGGUGAGAAUACCAUGGGAUGGGAGAAGGGCCAGUGAGUGGGAUGGGAAUGAGCUUCAUCAGGAACAGAUUUCAGACUCUGCAGGGUGCACCGGUUCUAGCCUCAAAUAACAACAUUGCAAGGAGGUGGACUACAGGGUCCACACCCUCUGUCCUUCGGGGCCCAUGGUCAGGCCAUUCCCUCUUUGUUUUGCUCCUAGAGGAUGAGCAUGUAAGAUGAGAUCAGGAGGGAAAUUGGGUGCUCUGCCUCAGGCUGUUAAAAUGCUGCUACCUGCAUUCUAAAACGUGCAAGUCAUGCCCCACAAGACACCUCCUUAGGGCAGCAUCCACUGUGGUGUGCCAGCCUGACACCCCUGCAGUCACGGUGUUUGAAUGGCAGCUGAUGCUGGCCCACCCAGAGUAUCGGUGCAUCUCUCCUAAAGCCACAGUUCAGCACUGCAUGUUGACCAGGCGGAUAUCCUAUAAUAUAGAUGCUCGUUUGGAUCCAAAAGGAAAACCAUUAAAAAUAAAAGAAAGAUGAAAAACUUUAAUGUUUUGGGGGGGAUAAAAGAAAAGAAUAAAUAAAACCUUGUUGUAAAGAAUGCAUCGGCCUGAUUUCCCUCACUUGAUGUGUUUCUUUGCUGCUACCAGAAAGGGAAAUCAUGGGAGUGAAGCCUGCCAGGACC
Molecule: long non-coding RNA, 1916 nt
Filed under: Homo sapiens (human)
Lineage: Eukaryota; Metazoa; Chordata; Mammalia; Primates; Hominidae
Description: non-protein coding lnc-RGSL1-8:1
Source: RNAcentral